Molecule: ribosomal RNA, 502 nt
Filed under: uncultured bacterium
Lineage: Bacteria
Description: partial 16S ribosomal RNA
Rfam family: Bacterial small subunit ribosomal RNA
Source: RNAcentral
AUUGAACGCUGGCGGCGUGCUUAACACAUGCAAGUCGAGCGGUAACAGGUGUAGCAAUACAUGCUGACGAGCGGCGAACGGGUGAGUAAUGCUUCGGAAUCUUCCUCGUAGUGGGGAACAACCUGGGGAAACGCAGGCUAAUACCGCAUAGGAACUACGGUUGAAAGCAGGGGGUCGCAAGACCUUGCGCUAGGAGAUGAGCCGAAGUCGGGUUAGAUGGUUGGUGGGGUAAAGGCCUACCAAGGCGACGAUCCGUGGCUGGUCAGAGAGGACGAGCUGACACACUGGGAGUGGGACACGGUCCAGAAUCCUACGGGAGGCAGAACUGGGGACUAUUGGAAGUUGGGGGCAACCAAGAUCCAGCGAAGCCGCGUGUGUGAAGAAGGCCUGCGGGUUGUAAAGAACUUUGAGUGCGGAUGAAAAGUUCAGGGCUACCACCGAUGAUUCUUGACCUAACCCAAAGAAAAAGCAGCGGCUAACUCUGUGCCAGCCGCCGCGGUAA